UACGGGAGGCAGCAGUGGGGAAUUUGGACAAUGGGCGCAAGCCUGAUCCAGCAAUGCCGCGUGUGUGAAGAAGGCCUUCGGGUUGUAAAGCACUUUUGUCCGGGAAGAAAUCCCUGGUCCUAAUAUGGCCGGGGGAUGACGGUACUGGAAGAAUAAGCACCGGCUAACUACGUGCCAGCAGCCGCGGUAAUACGUAGGGUGCGAGCGUUAAUCGGAAUUACUGGGCGUAAAGCGUGCGCAGGCGGUGAUGUAAGACCGAUGUGAAAUCCCCGGGCUUAACCUGGGAACUGCAUUGGUGACUGCAUCGCUCGAGUAUGGCAGAGGGGGGUAGAAUUCCACGUGUAGCAGUGAAAUGCGUAGAGAUGUGGAGGAAUACCGAUGGCGAAGGCAGCCCCCUGGGUCAAUACUGACGCUCAUGCACGAAAGCGUGGGGAGCAAACAGGAUUAGAUACCCUGGUAGUCCACGCCCUAAACGAUGUCAACUGGUUGUCGGGCCUUCAUUGGCUUGGUAACGUAGCUAACGCGUGAAGUUGACCGCCUGGGGAGUACGGUCGCAAGAUUAAAACUCAAAGGAAUUGACGGGGACCCGCACAAGCGGUGGAUGAUGUGGAUUAAUUCGAUGCAACGCGAAAAACCUUACCUACCCUUGACAUGUAUGGAAUCCUGCUGAGAGGUGGGAGUGCCCGAAAGGGAGCCAU
Molecule: ribosomal RNA, 698 nt
Filed under: Paraburkholderia sp.
Lineage: Bacteria; Pseudomonadati; Pseudomonadota; Betaproteobacteria; Burkholderiales; Burkholderiaceae
Description: bacterial SSU rRNA
Rfam family: Bacterial small subunit ribosomal RNA
Source: RNAcentral